Molecule: small RNA, 767 nt
Filed under: Histoplasma ohiense
Lineage: Eukaryota; Fungi; Ascomycota; Eurotiomycetes; Onygenales; Ajellomycetaceae
Description: hypothetical lncRNA
Source: RNAcentral
UCUUGGCCCUAUCCUCCCUUAAAACAUUCCACAAUAUCCUGCUUUCAAAAGCCUAAAACGCGGAAAUUUUUGCUCCUUCCUCAUCUCAAGAUCUGGCACUGACUUCUAGCCCUGGCUCAGCUUCUGGUGAGUAGUCUUAGUCGAUUCUUAUCGAAGGAUUUGCGGCAAACCUCAUAAAUAUAGGGAAGGUUCUUGGCUGUCGAUAGGAUGAUGAUAUUGAAUAGAGAGAGGAUCGAUCGCGUAUGUUGGAUGAAGAAGGGUGGUAAGUAUGGUCGAUUGUUCGAUGGAUGGCUUCCAUUAAGAUUUGAGAUAAACGCGCCUUCAACUAGAAUAGAAGACGCGGUAAAGAGGGUGAUGCAAUAUGAGAGACAGCAUGCCUACUGAUUGCAAAGGAAUUCAAUUAAUCAUAGCAAUAUGAGAAGCAGCGAGCCUACCAGGGGCAUUACGUGCAUCAUGAUUGCAAAAACAACUUAAAAUGAGACAGCUGGCUUUUUCAAGGAACCUAACCUGCUCCAAAACCAACAACAAUCAUCACCACUAUUGUAGGGAACAUGGAAUCAACCACUAGGUUAAAAAAAUUUUUAAGCAUUUGAUGGCGCUGAAGCAUCAAAGGGCCCAUAAUCUGAUGGAGGUGGACCUUGACCUCUCCUGUAAAAUGUAUCAAGGUGAGAUUUGACGUAGGUCCUCUGAUAAUUUCGGAGGCCGAUAAUGAAGAAGUCAUGAAAGAAAUCUUCGCCAGGAUUCUUCGCUAGUUCUAGGGUACGAGC